CUAUAUACAGUGGUUACUCCUCUCUGAGGUAAUUCAGCUAAGCCUGUCAGUCACCUGGCCAGGAGUCCACCCCACAGGAAGUCUGAUCCAUCUGAAGACAUCUACAGGCAGGAGAAUAGUAAUUAUCCCUUAAUGAGAUGAGGGGUCUUUACACUGUCCUUCAAAUUCCUGCUGAAAAAAAAAAGCUACAUGUCUGGGAAAGAUGCCACCCCACCCUGUAUGGCUACCUCCUAUGCCAGAUGAUAUGAUUCCCACCUGAUGAGGCUAAGGAAGCCAGCUGGAAUAUGGAUGCAGACCAGAAGAGCCCAGUGAAUGGCAGUUUAGGAACACAUCCAGUACUGUUGUAUACCAUCAGUGUCUGAGCCUGGAUGUGUGUAUCACCAGCCUCAGAUGUCCCCUUGCCUGUGUAGAGAAACACGGCUCACCUGUAAGCCGGGAGCUGUCUACUGUGACAGGUGUGACAGCUGUGUAACAAAUGUCUUUGUAUUUAGAAAUAAUAAACCUACUU
Long non-coding RNA from Mus musculus (house mouse), 508 nucleotides. RefSeq annotates it as predicted gene, 36586. The transcript has 3 exons. The record is from RefSeq and is a predicted model, not a curated record. Lineage: Eukaryota; Metazoa; Chordata; Mammalia; Rodentia; Muridae.